UGGGGGGAUAUUGCACAAUGGGGGGAAACCCUGAUGCAGCAACGCCGCGUGAGGGAAGAAGGUUUUCGGAUUGUAAACCUCUGUCCUCAGUGAAGAACGAAAUGACGGUAACUGAGGAGGAAGCUCCGGCUAACUACGUGCCAGCAGCCGCGGUAAUACGUAGGGAGCGAGCGUUGUCCGGAUUUAUUGGGUUUAAAGGGUGCGCAGGCGGGCGUCUAAGUCAGCGGUGAAAGUUCCCGGCUCAACCGGGUCAGUGCCGAUGAUACUGGGGGUCUUGAAUGCGGUCGAGGCCGGCGGAAUGUGGCGUGUAGCGGUGAAAUGCAUAGAUAUGCCACAGAACACCGAUAGCGAAGGCAGCUGGCCGGGCCUGCAUUGACGCUGAGGCACGAAAGCGUGGGGAUCGAACAGGAUUAGAUACCCUGGUAGU
RNAcentral lists this ribosomal RNA (427 nucleotides) under uncultured Clostridium sp. RNAcentral describes it as "bacterial SSU rRNA". It matches the Rfam family "Bacterial small subunit ribosomal RNA", at positions 354 to 794 of the family's 1533-position model. Lineage: Bacteria; Bacillati; Bacillota; Clostridia; Eubacteriales; Clostridiaceae. The record is from RNAcentral.